This 500-nucleotide ribosomal RNA is filed under the name uncultured bacterium. RNAcentral describes it as "partial 16S ribosomal RNA". It matches the Rfam family "Bacterial small subunit ribosomal RNA", at positions 30 to 523 of the family's 1533-position model. The record is from RNAcentral.
AUUGAACGCUGGCGGCAGGCUUAACACAUGCAAGUCGAGCGGAGAUGAGGUGCUUGCACCUUAUCUUAGCGGCGGACGGGUGAGUAAUGCUUAGGAAUCUGCCUAUUAGUGGGGGACAACAUUCCGAAAGGAAUGCUAAUACCGCAUACGUCCUACGGGAGAAAGCAGGGGAUCUUCGGACCUUGCGCUAAUAGAUGAGCCUAAGUCGGAUUAGCUAGUUGGUGGGGUAAAGGCCUACCAAGGCGACGAUCUGUAGCGGGUCUGAGAGGAUGAUCCGCCACACUGGGACUGAGACACGGCCCAGACUCCUACGGGAGGCAGCAGUGGGGAAUAUUGGACAAUGGGGGGAACCCUGAUCCAGCCAUGCCGCGUGUGUGAAGAAGGCCUUAUGGUUGAAAGCACUUUAAGCGAGGAGGAGGCUACUGAGACUAAUACUCUUGGAUAGUGGACGUUACACGCAGAAUAAGCACCGGCUAACUCCGUGCCAGCCGCCGCCGUAA